GGUUAAGCGACUAAGCGUACACGGUGGAUGCCCUGGCAGUCAGAGGCGAUGAAGGACGUGCUAAUCUGCGAAAAGCGUCGGUAAGGUGAUAUGAACCGUUAUAACCGGCGAUGUCCGAAUGGGGAAACCCAGUGCAAUUCGUUGCACUAUCGUUAACUGAAUACAUAGGUUAACGAGGCGAACCGGGGGAACUGAAACAUCUAAGUACCCCGAGGAAAAGAAAUCAACCGAGAUUCCCCCAGUAGCGGCGAGCGAACGGGGAGCAGCCCAGAGUCUGAAUCAGCUUGUGUGUUAGUGGAACGGUCUGGAAAGUCCGACGGUACAGGGUGAUAGUCCCGUACACCAAAAUGCACAGGCUGUGAACUCGAAGAGUAGGGCGGGACACGUGGUAUCCUGUCUGAAUAUGGGGGGACCAUCCUCCAAGGCUAAAUACUCCUGACUGACCGAUAGUGAACCAGUACCGUGAGGGAAAGGCGAAAAGAACCCCGGCGAGGGGAGUGAAAAAGAACCUGAAACCGUGUACGUACAAGCAGUGGGAGCACCUUCGGGUGUGACUGCGUACCUUUUGUAUAAUGGGUCAGCGACUUAUAUUCUGUAGCAAGGUUAACCGUAUAGGGGAGCCGCAGGGAAACCGAGUCUUAACUGGGCGUUAAGUUGCAGGGUAUAGACCCGAAACCCGGUGAUCUAGCCAUGGGCAGGUUGAAGGUUGGGUAACACUAACUGGAGGACCGAACCGACUAAUGUUGAAAAAUUAGCGGAUGACUUGUGGCUGGGGGUGAAAGGCCAAUCAAACCGGGAGAUAGCUGGUUCUCCCCGAAAGCUAUUUAGGUAGCGCCUCGUGAAUUCAUCUUCGGGGGUAGAGCACUGUUUCGGCUAGGGGGUCAUCCCGACUUACCAACCCGAUGCAAACUACGAAUACCGAAGAAUGUUAUCACGGGAGACACACGGCGGGUGCUAACGUCCGUCGUGAAGAGGGAAACAACCCAGACCGCCAGCUAAGGUCCCAAAGUCAUGGUUAAGUGGGAAACGAUGUGGGAAGGCACAGACAGCCAGGAUGUUGGCUUAGAAGCAGCCAUCAUUUAAAGAAAGCGUAAUAGCUCACUGGUCGAGUCGGCCUGCGCGGAAGAUGUAACGGGGCUAAACCAUGCACCGAAGCUGCGGCAGCGACACUAUGUGUUGUUGGGUAGGGGAGCGUUCUGUAAGCCUGCGAAGGUGACCUGUGAGGGUUGCUGGAGGUAUCAGAAGUGCGAAUGCUGACAUAAGUAACGAUAAAGCGGGUGAAAAGCCCGCUCGCCGGAAGACCAAGGGUUCCUGUCCAACGUUAAUCGGGGCAGGGUGAGUCGACCCCUAAGGCGAGGCCGAAAGGCGUAGUCGAUGGGAAACAGGUUAAUAUUCCUGUACUUGGUGUUACUGCGAAGGGGGGACGGAGAAGGCUAUGUUAGCCGGGCGACGGUUGUCCCGGUUUAAGCAUGUAGGCUGGUUAUCCAGGCAAAUCCGGAUAAUCAAGGCUGAGGUGUGAUGACGAGGCACUACGGUGCUGAAGUAACAAAUGCCCUGCUUCCAGGAAAAGCCUCUAAGCAUCAGGUAACAUCAAAUCGUACCCCAAACCGACACAGGUGGUCAGGUAGAGAAUACCAAGGCGCUUGAGAGAACUCGGGUGAAGGAACUAGGCAAAAUGGUGCCGUAACUUCGGGAGAAGGCACGCUGGUGUGUAGGUGAAGCCCCUGCGGGUGGAGCUGAGACCAGUCGAAGAUACCAGCUGGCUGCAACUGUUUAUUAAAAACACAGCACUGUGCAAACACGAAAGUGGACGUAUACGGUGUGACGCCUGCCCGGUGCCGGAAGGUUAAUUGAUGGGGUUAUCCGUAAGGAGAAGCUCUUGAUCGAAGCCCCGGUAAACGGCGGCCGUAACUAUAACGGUCCUAAGGUAGCGAAAUUCCUUGUCGGGUAAGUUCCGACCUGCACGAAUGGCGUAAUGAUGGCCAGGCUGUCUCCACCCGAGACUCAGUGAAAUUGAACUCGCUGUGAAGAUGCAGUGUACCCGCGGCAAGACGGAAAGACCCCGUGAACCUUUACUAUAGCUUGACACUGAACAUUGAGCCUUGAUGUGUAGGAUAGGUGGGAGGCUUUGAAGCGUGGACGCCAGUCUGCGUGGAGCCAACCUUGAAAUACCACCCUUUAAUGUUUGAUGUUCUAACGUUGGCCCCUGACCGGGGUUGCGGACAGUGUCUGGUGGGUAGUUUGACUGGGGCGGUCUCCUCCCAAAGCGUAACGGAGGAGCACGAAGGUUAGCUAAUCCUGGUCGGACAUCAGGAGGUUAGUGCAAUGGCAUAAGCUAGCUUGACUGCGAGCGUGACGGCGCGAGCAGGUGCGAAAGCAGGUCAUAGUGAUCCGGUGGUUCUGAAUGGAAGGGCCAUCGCUCAACGGAUAAAAGGUACUCCGGGGAUAACAGGCUGAUACCGCCCAAGAGUUCAUAUCGACGGCGGUGUUUGGCACCUCGAUGUCGGCUCAUCACAUCCUGGGGCUGAAGUAGGUCCCAAGGGUAUGGCUGUUCGCCAUUUAAAGUGGUACGCGAGCUGGGUUUAGAACGUCGUGAGACAGUUCGGUCCCUAUCUGCCGUGGGCGCUGGAGAAUUGAGGGGGGCUGCUCCUAGUACGAGAGGACCGGAGUGGACGCAUCACUGGUGUUCGGGUUGUCAUGCCAAUGGCACUGCCCGGUAGCUAAAUGCGGAAGAGAUAAGUGCUGAAAGCAUCUAAGCACGAAACUUGCCCCGAGAUGAGUUCUCCCUGAGACUUUAAGUCUCCUGAAGGAACGUU
Molecule: ribosomal RNA, 2816 nt
Filed under: Klebsiella pneumoniae
Lineage: Bacteria; Pseudomonadati; Pseudomonadota; Gammaproteobacteria; Enterobacterales; Enterobacteriaceae
Description: partial 23S ribosomal RNA
Rfam family: Bacterial large subunit ribosomal RNA
Source: RNAcentral